CAUUUUUUGUAGUCACCUACCCCCUCGGGGGCAAGCCUCAUGUUUUUAUCUGCUCAGGAAAUUUUUCUGCUCUCUCUAAAAGGGCUCUCCCCACUAGAGUUAAUUUCCUGUGAGGUUCCCUUUCCUUUCCUUGAGUGAGUCCAUUCAUUCACUUAAGCUUCUGCCGAAACAUUUAAACCUCACUUCAACCUAUGGAUUUUGUGAUUUCCAAAGAUACAGUCUUCCUUUGGAAAAUUUUGCCAUGAUCCUUAAGAACUUCUUAAUUUUGUUUUUUCUAGCUAACGAUACUGAUUUUUCUGCUUCUAUUUUUUGUAAUCAACUUUUAUUAUAAUAAGUUACAUUAAAUAACAAGUUUUAUUAUAAUAAGUUUUGUCACUUAUUAUAAAGUCGACUUUUAGCACUAUGGAAGUCAACUACAGCUGCCCAUGCUACCGGAGCUCAGUAAAGUUCCAGAGAUCCGAGCCUGGACCUCAGACAAUGCUGCCCCAUAUCCCUGCGUGGCAUUUCCAAGAUGAUCUAAAGGUUACGCGUUGUGACGUCAACAGGCUCUCCAUGCAUCCUCAGCUUGCUCAGAAACAGGGUGACCAGCUUUAUAAGUUUAUAAAACUUAUAAACUUUAAACUUACAAACUUAUAACUUUAAAACUUUGUAAGUUUUCCUAGAACUGAGAGUUUCCUCAAGAUGAGGGACUUUCAGUGCCGAAACCAGGGAAGUCUAGGCAACUUGAGAUGAACUGGUCCCCUACCUAGAAUCCAAGCCCACACCUGGCAGCCAGGACCAACCAGCAGGUCACCAAGGAAUGUUUAGACAAAGGUCAUUCUCCUUGAGCCACUUGAUCCCCUGUCUGACUGGGACAGCAGCACUUUGGUAAAGAGUGGGAACAGUUACAAAGAUGCCUCACAGGCACCGUCUGCCUUUAAACUUGACUGACACAUCACCCCUUCUGCCUGCCUCUUCACUCAAGCCCACACCAAUCUCCUGAGAACACGGACACGGCCUUCCCUCUGUCUGAUGGCGCUCCCUCCCGCAUGGAAGACCCCAGCAAAGAGUUGUGGUUUAUAACAGAUUUUCACUGAACCCUUGGGAGCAAUGGAGGCUGUCUUAUUCAGAACUGGAUUUGCGUUCAGUACGACUAGAAGCUCCAUCCUACUCAUCUGUUCAAGGGUGUCAGGGCUAAAGUUUGUGGAAAUCUCUUGGCCUUUCCCCCCCCCAUCACAGGAUAACUCAAGCCAUCACACUGAGGAAGGAAAAAGGAGGAACAGAGGAAGCAGAGAAAGAAGGAAGAGCUCCUAUAAUUAGGGAAGCAAAACCGUCUCAACAGUCCUCAGCAAACAUCUGCCUAUGUGCCACUUUCUGAAACUGUUAUGUGGCCCCCACUGGUUACAAGAGAGUCUGGGCAUGUAAGGCUCUACCUUCUCAGACUCUACCAUAGAGGAAGGGAAGGAAGGAAACGAUAAAUUGGAACCCACCAACUCGUUACUUAUUGAGUAACCCACCCUCUUGUGUCUGCCUUAGAGAGUAGUUCACUGAUCGUUUUCCUUACUUGGAAGCUCGCUUUGUUAAAAAUUAUUACAGCUUG
Panthera uncia (snow leopard) is the source of this 1579-nucleotide long non-coding RNA. RefSeq lists it as uncharacterized. The transcript has 3 exons. Lineage: Eukaryota; Metazoa; Chordata; Mammalia; Carnivora; Felidae. The record is from RefSeq and is a predicted model, not a curated record.